UUGGACCAUAUGACAUCAUAAAGGAGGACAAGCCUGCAGAAGGGCUCAAAAGAGAUGAAUACAAUCUGAACACAGCUGAGGAAGAGGCAACUGGAGCUUGGUUUCUCAACCUUGGCACUGUUGACAUCUGGGGCUAGAUAACUCAUUGUUGUGGGGGCUUUCCUGUGCAUUGUAGAGUGAUUAGCAGUAACAUCCCUAGCCUCUACCCACUUGAUGCCAGUAAUGGCCUAUCUCCCAGUUAUAAUGGCAAAAAUAUUUCUAGACAUUGGCCCAUGUCCCCUGGGCUGCAAAAUCACCCUCAGUUGAGAACCAUUGGAAUAGAGAAUUCAGAAUUCCUGGGGAAAACGUUGCACUGUUAAGGCCUCUGAUGGCAAUGACACCACCUGUGAGCUGCUCAGAAGCAUUUAUCAAAUGCUGUCAGGAGGUUGACGUUUAAAGUUAACUCAGUGGAUCCCAAUCUUCCUUUCCUAAGAUCUAGUCUCUUCCCUGAACUCUAGUGUUUUUCAAGAUACUCAGGAGAUUAUGAAAUCAAUUUAGUGGGUACUAACCAGCAUUUUCUUUAAAAAAUGAAAUAAUGGCCCAGCUGGUAUGGCUCAGUGGUUGAGUGUCUACCUAUGAACCAGGAGGUCACAGUUUGAUUCCUGAUCAGGGUACGUGCCAGAUUGUAGGCUUGAUCCCCAGUAGGGGGCAUGCAGGAGGCAGCUGAUCAGUUAUUCUUUCUCAUCAUUGAUGUUUCUAUCCCUCUCUACCUCUCCCUUCCUCUCUCUCUGAAAUCAGUAAAAAAAAAAAAAAAAAAUCGUAAAAAAAUGAAAUAAUGGAAUAGAAUAAAAUAGUACAGAAAAUAUUAGAGUAUACUUUGUAGAGUAAAUAUAGACUUGGAAAAAUUUUGAUUAUUUGUUUGGGUGUAUACAAUUGUGGAUGCUUGUUCAUCUUAGAUAUUGAUAUAAAGUUUAUUACUUACCAGAGUUGGCAAUUAAAAGAGUUUGAGAAUUCCUACUGUAUUUUAACAUAUCCUCUGGAUAUACACUUUUCUUCUAAUGUGCAAUGUAUUGGUUUCUCAUUGCUGCUAUAGCAAAUUACCACAAAUUUAGUGGCUUUAAACUUAAAACCUGCAAGUUUAUUCUCUUACAGUUCUGGAGGUGAAAAAUCCAAAAUCAGUUUUACUGCACAAAAGUCAAAGUGUUGAUAGGACAAGGACCUCAGUCCUAUAGCUGCAAGGAACUGAAUUCUGCCAACAACCAGUAAGCUUAGAAGAGGAUUGUGAAUCACAGAUGAGAUAGCUGCCCAGGCUGACAUGUUGACUGCAGCCUUGUGAGACCCUGAACAGAGUACUCAGCCAAGCUGUGCCUGGACUCCAGACCCAUGGAAACUCUCUCUUCUUGCCUCCCAGUAUUUUUCCUGUGACUCCCAUUGGUGGAAAGUAUCCUGAAACCAGAGGCAAAGAAGUCUGGAAACUGUCUCCUGAGAUACAGAAGAGGGCAGAAGUUCCAGGAGCGGGGGAGAUUACAUCUCCCAGGAGAAUCACCUGGGUUUAACCUGUCUCUGACCUCAGGUGGGAG
This is a long non-coding RNA of Eptesicus fuscus (big brown bat), 1559 nucleotides long. RefSeq lists it as uncharacterized. The record is from RefSeq and is a predicted model, not a curated record. NCBI's taxonomy places the organism in Eukaryota, Metazoa, Chordata, Mammalia, Chiroptera, Vespertilionidae. The transcript has 3 exons.